Molecule: long non-coding RNA, 266 nt
Filed under: Theobroma cacao (cacao)
Lineage: Eukaryota; Viridiplantae; Streptophyta; Magnoliopsida; Malvales; Malvaceae
Description: long non-coding RNA (TCAC_LNC005502)
Source: RNAcentral
UUUGCUUAACAAAUUUAUCAUAUCAUGCAUACACACACACUUUUUUCCAAGUGUGAACCUAGCCAAAACACAAUGGCAUUAUCGAUAAUAAUAUACAUGCACUAUACCAGUCAUAUAUUUAGCAAUUUACAUUGCAUACACAUAUUCACAUGGUUAGAUUGUAUUCACAAUACAAAAGGACCCAUGACUUCCAGCGGAGAUAUUUACAAUAAAAGGGAUUACUAUCGAAUGCCAGACACAUACCCAGGAGAUGCACUAUGGGGACU